RNAcentral lists this ribosomal RNA (418 nucleotides) under bacterium enrichment culture clone ALO1_GLFRUDD03FSQ8Q. Its description in RNAcentral is "bacterial SSU rRNA". It matches the Rfam family "Bacterial small subunit ribosomal RNA", at positions 9 to 429 of the family's 1533-position model. The record is from RNAcentral.
GAGUUUGAUCGUGGCUCAGAUUGAACGCUGGCGGCAUGCCUUACACAUGCAAGUCGAACGGCAGCACGGGAGCUUGCUCCUGGUGGCGAGUGGCGAACGGGUGAGUAAUGCAUCGGAACGUAUCCUGGAGUGGGGGAUAACGUAGCGAAAGUUACGCUAAUACCGCAUAUUCUGUGAGCAGGAAAGCGGGGGACCUUCGGGUCUCGCGCUCUUGGAGCGGCCGAUGUCGGAUUAGCUAGUUGGUGAGGUAAAGGCUCACCAAGGCGACGAUCCGUAGCAGGUCUGAGAGGAUGAUCUGCCACACUGGAACUGAGACACGGUCCAGACUCCUACGGGAGGCAGCAGUGGGAAUUUUGGACAAUGGGGGCAACCCUGAUCCAGCCAUGCCGCGUGAGUGAAGAAGGCCUUCGGUUGUAAG